RNAcentral lists this ribosomal RNA (478 nucleotides) under uncultured bacterium. RNAcentral's name for it is "partial 16S ribosomal RNA". It matches the Rfam family "Bacterial small subunit ribosomal RNA", at positions 28 to 507 of the family's 1533-position model. The record is from RNAcentral.
GACGAACGCUGGCGGCGUGCUUAACACAUGCAAGUCGAACGUGAUUUUUGUGGAAAUUCUUUCGGGAAUGGAAAUGAAAUGAAAGUGGCGAACGGGUGAGUAACACGUGAGCAACCUACCUUACACAGGGGGAUAGCCGUUGGAAACGACGAUUAAUACCGCAUGAGACCACAGAAUCGCAUGAUAUAGGGGUCAAAGAUUUAUCGGUGUAAGAAGGGCUCGCGUCUGAUUAGCUAGUUGGAAGGGUAAAGGCCUACCAAGGCGACGAUCAGUAGCCGGUCUGAGAGGAUGAACGGCCACAUUGGAACUGAGACACGGUCCAAACUCCUACGGGAGGCAGCAGUGGGGAAUAUUGCACAAUGGGGGGAACCCUGAUGCAGCAACGCCGCGUGAGCGAAGAAGGUUUUCGAAUCGUAAAGCUCUGUCCUAUGAGAAGAUAAUGACGGUAUCAUAGGAGGAAGCCCCGGCUAAAUACGUG